This 253-nucleotide ribosomal RNA is filed under the name uncultured bacterium. Its description in RNAcentral is "partial 16S ribosomal RNA". It matches the Rfam family "Bacterial small subunit ribosomal RNA", at positions 524 to 776 of the family's 1533-position model. The record is from RNAcentral.
UACGGAGGGUGCAAGCGUUGUCCGGAUUUAUUGGGUUUAAAGGGUGCGUAGGCGGCUCCUUAAGUCAGCGGUGAAAGCCCGGGGCUCAACCCCGGAACCGCCGUUGAUACUGGGGGGCUUGAGUAUGGACGAGGUUGGCGGAAUUGAGGGUGUAGCGGUGAAAUGCUUAGAUACCCUCAAGAACACCGAUUGCGUAGGCAGCUACCUAGGCCAUAACUGACGCUGAGGCACGAAAGCGUGGGGAGCGAACAGG